This is a non-coding RNA of Nicotiana tabacum (common tobacco), 589 nucleotides long. NCBI's taxonomy places the organism in Eukaryota, Viridiplantae, Streptophyta, Magnoliopsida, Solanales, Solanaceae. The record is from RefSeq and is a predicted model, not a curated record.
UAAUAGCGAGAAUGAACAGCCACAAAAGCAGUCAGAGGUGCAAAGCCAGUCUUCAUCCCCUGCAGAUGGAUUGUCCCUCCCUGGCACUGUGCCACCAAACAUGCACUACUUGAUGCCUUCUCAAUUCGGAGAUGCAAAUGCUGGAGCAUCUUUGCACCCUAUGACGUGCAGCCUUACCCUGCACAACCUUAUCCAGCACUGUCAACGGUUCAGCAAGUUGGUGUUCCUCUGCCAUCAGAUACCAUACAAGAACCUGUUUUUGUUAAUGCAAAACAGUAUCAUGGCAUCUUGAGGCGUCGACAAUCUCGUGCAAAAGCUGAAUCAGAAAAUAAACUUCUAAAAGUUAGGAAGAUAUUUUGUACAAAAUGCACUUUGUAUCAUUUUACCUGCAGGGUCAGUUGCUUCAGUAGGCCUGCCAUUUGGCAGCUUAUUGGUUCAACGGCUGAUUUAUAUUUCCCAGUUCAUUAGCCUACCAGCUUUACCAACCUGUAGAACUUCUAUUUGGCCCCUUAUAUUUUGAGGUCAGACAUAAUGGUAACACGUAAAACCCCAACAUUUUAUUUCUAAUGUACUAUAUCGUGAAAAUAAA